CGCGUUGGUCGUUCGAGACCCGUGUGAACGAUGUGACAUAUGCACGGUGUCGUUUUAUUCAAUGACUGUUACUACGACUACCACUACUACCACUACUACUAACACGACUACUACUAUAUCGCCGCGUUAAUGUAACCCGGACUGCGGGAUUACAAACGCAAGGACUCGAAGAUCUGCGUGUUCUCCGUGGUGCAGGGGUCGAUGACACAGGUCUCAAUCGACAUCGAGGAGCCUUCCGGCAGUGAACAGCAUUUUUCUAGAAUCUGAGAAAACCUCGAAGACAGGUGAUCGCGGGGGUGCAGCGGAUCUAAAAAAUUCGCAAAACGGCGAUGCUGACGCGCUGUCCGUUGAUGACUUUGGCAAAACGGAGCAACAUCGUCGAACUUCGGAGUCUGGUAAGUUUGGUAUAACACGCGUAUUCGUAAUCACGCACAUAUUUUCCGUGUUACAUCUGAUUACCUAUCGGAGAC
Long non-coding RNA from Athalia rosae (coleseed sawfly), 470 nucleotides. RefSeq lists it as uncharacterized. The transcript has 3 exons. The record is from RefSeq and is a predicted model, not a curated record. Lineage: Eukaryota; Metazoa; Arthropoda; Insecta; Hymenoptera; Athaliidae.